Molecule: non-coding RNA, 93 nt
Organism: Vicugna pacos (alpaca)
Lineage: Eukaryota; Metazoa; Chordata; Mammalia; Artiodactyla; Camelidae
Source: RefSeq, a predicted model, not a curated record
CUCUCCUUUCUUCCUGGUGAGCCUGGCCAGAGGUUUGCUGAUUCUGUUUACCCUUUCAAAAAAAUAGCUCUUGUUUCAAAUAAGAAUGAAAGA